RNAcentral lists this non-coding RNA (326 nucleotides) under Echinops telfairi (small Madagascar hedgehog). Its description in RNAcentral is "TrkB IRES". It matches the Rfam family "TrkB IRES". From Rfam's summary of the family: This family represents the TrkB internal ribosome entry site (IRES) which is present in the 5' leader sequence of the mRNA. The record is from Rfam by way of RNAcentral. Lineage: Eukaryota; Metazoa; Chordata; Mammalia; Afrosoricida; Tenrecidae.
UCCCGGAGCGCCUUUUGCCAGGAGCCUGCACCCCAGUGAACCCCGGAGAGCGCCGCCGGCGGGUGCUCCCAGAGCCAGGCCAUGCAGCGGUGGCCACGACAGAGCUUGGAGCGGCGGUAGCGCCUCCUGUGUGGCGGUCCACGAUGCCCCAGCCACUGUGAACAGUGCCCUACCCAGCCCUGGAGACGCUUGCCUCUGCUUGCCCGUGUGACCAGCACCAAGGAAUCCAGGGACCCAGGAGCGCAGCGAAGGCCGCCCAACGCGUGCAGAGGAGGCCGACCCGCACAGCGCAGGGCACAUACUCAGGCUGACUGGAGCUGGCACUG